UAUUAUGCAAAGUAGAAUGUA
Molecule: microRNA, 21 nt
Filed under: Strongyloides ratti
Lineage: Eukaryota; Metazoa; Nematoda; Chromadorea; Rhabditida; Strongyloididae
Description: str-miR-8378-3p
Source: miRBase by way of RNAcentral